Long non-coding RNA from Aquila chrysaetos chrysaetos, 816 nucleotides. RefSeq lists it as uncharacterized. The record is from RefSeq and is a predicted model, not a curated record. The transcript has 3 exons. Lineage: Eukaryota; Metazoa; Chordata; Aves; Accipitriformes; Accipitridae.
AUUUUACUGAAAGACUUCCAUGAACUUACUUCCCUGACCAUCACCAAAACACUGUUGUGAGAAGAAAAGGAAGAGGUGUCCUCUGGAAUGAAACCCUUCCCCAGGAUGGUUUUUUCUUUCUGCCUGUAUGAUGUUGCCUCUAAUGGGAUGCAGCACAGCUGUUGAAUGAGUGCACGUGCUUUUUGGAAAAAUCCUGACAGUAGCUUUGGAUUUCACUGAACUGUUCCACAAGUGAAAAGUGGAUUACACUUUGCAGGAGCCUUAAUCCAGUGGAGAAUACAACAUGUGGCUAAAGAAGCUGGAAAUCCCUUGUGAGUAUCCUGUCAGAGUAGAUAUGGAAUAAGAUGGAAAGUGAAAGUUCACUGCAUCUAGCUUUGAACCAAAAUGUGUCGUAUCACUUUAAAUGAAUGGCUUUACUUGGGGUCCAUCAUGAGCAAAGCAAGUUGUCAUGGAAACCUUGAUGGCAUAAUUACUAUCGGGGCAGAGCAAUAGGGCCCCAGAGACUGUGUAAUCAGGUGGCCAUUUAUUCUGGAAGACUUGGUCCUCUGUCUAGUAAAGGAGUAUGGAAUUGGUUGAUUAAAGGAAAGCUGCUCUAGUAGGAUCCAAUAAUGAGAUAUAAACAUUUUUUCUUGUCUAUCAAAGACAAUUACUGCAUGGCACUUUGAUUUAUUCACUCGUAAAAAUAUUCUAAAGCUGUUUAGAGGAGCCCAAGUGUGGAAGCUAAAAAAGGUUUUGUUCCAGAAGAUAGUUUUGCUCCAAGUUCUCCUCCCUUCCACAUUGUCUACACUCUUGCUGUAAUUAUCACAAUCAUGUUCU